CCUACGGGUGGCAGCAGUGGGGAAUAUUGGACAAUGGGGGAAACCCUGAUGCAGCGACGCCGCGUGAGUGAAGAAGUAUUUCGUUACGUAAAGCUCUAUCAGCAGGGAAGAAAAUGACGGUACCUGAGUAAGAAGCCCCGGCUAACUACGUGCCAGCAGCCGCGGUAAUACGUAGGGUGCGAGCGUUAUCCGGAUUUACUGGGUGUAAAGGGUGCGUAGGCGACAGGGCAAGUCUGGAGUGAAAUGCGGGGGCUCAACCCCCUGAAGGCUGUGGAAACUGGACGGCUGGAGUGCUGGAGAGGUAAGUGGAAUGCCUGGUGUAGCGGUGAAAUGCGUAGAUAUUAGGAGGAACACCAGUGGCGAAGGCGGCUUACUGGAGUGUAACUGACGUUGAGGCUCGAAAGCGUGGGGAGCGAACAGGAUUAGAUACCCCAGUAGUC
This 440-nucleotide ribosomal RNA is filed under the name uncultured bacterium. Its description in RNAcentral is "partial 16S ribosomal RNA". It matches the Rfam family "Bacterial small subunit ribosomal RNA", at positions 338 to 795 of the family's 1533-position model. The record is from RNAcentral.